UGGCGGACGGGUGAGUAACGCGUGGAAAACCUGCCGUAUACUGGGGGAUAACACUUAGAAAUAGGUGCUAAUACCGCAUAAGCGCACAGCUUCGCAUGAAGUGGUGUGAAAAACUCCGGUGGUAUACGAUGGUUCCGCGUCUGAUUAGCUUGUUGGUGGGGUAAUGGCUCACCAAGGCGACGAUCAGUAGCCGGCCUGAGAGGGUGAACGGCCACAUUGGGGCUGAGACACGGCCCAAACUCCUACGGAAGGCAGCAG
RNAcentral lists this ribosomal RNA (258 nucleotides) under uncultured bacterium. RNAcentral describes it as "partial 16S ribosomal RNA". It matches the Rfam family "Bacterial small subunit ribosomal RNA", at positions 96 to 354 of the family's 1533-position model. The record is from RNAcentral.